RNAcentral lists this ribosomal RNA (212 nucleotides) under uncultured bacterium. RNAcentral's name for it is "partial 16S ribosomal RNA". It matches the Rfam family "Bacterial small subunit ribosomal RNA", at positions 524 to 737 of the family's 1533-position model. The record is from RNAcentral.
UACGUAGGGUCCGAGCGUUGUCCGGAAUUACUGGGCGUAAAGAGCUCGUAGGUGGUUUGUCGCGUUGUUCGUGAAAACUCACAGCUUAACUGUGGGCGUGCGGCGAUACGGGCAGACUUGAGUACUGCAGGGGAGACUGGAAUUCCUGGUGUAGCGGUGGAAUGCGCAGAUAUCAGGAGGAACACCAGUGGCGAAGGCGGCUCACUGGCCGU